GACGAACGCUGGCGGCGCGCUUAACACAUGCAAGUCGAACGGAAAGGCCUGCUUUCCCUUGUGGAUUGCGGGUACUCGAGUGGCGAACGGGUGAGUAACACGUGAGUGAUCUGCCCCCAACUUGGGUAUAAGCCUGGGAAACUGGGUCUAAUUCCCGAUAGGACUGCAGGGUGGUGCCUGUGGUGGAAAACGAUUUUCUAGUGGUUGGGGAUGAGCUCGCGGCCUAUCAGCUUGUUGGUGGGGUAAUGGCCUACCAAGGCGGCGACGGGUAGCCGGCCUGAGAGGGUGGACGGCCACAUUGGGACUGAGAUACGGCCCAGACGCCUACGGGAGGCAGCAGUGGGGAAUAUUGCACAAUGGGCGGAAGCCUGAUGCAGCGACGCCGCGUGGGGGAUGCCGGCCUUCGGGUUGUAAGCUCCUUUCGACCGCGAGGAAGCCACCUGGUUGGAAGGGUGGUGACGGUAGUGGUAGAAGAAGCACCGGCUAACUACGUG
RNAcentral lists this ribosomal RNA (494 nucleotides) under uncultured bacterium. Its description in RNAcentral is "partial 16S ribosomal RNA". It matches the Rfam family "Bacterial small subunit ribosomal RNA", at positions 28 to 507 of the family's 1533-position model. The record is from RNAcentral.